CAGUCGCCGCGGUAAUACAGAGGGUGCGAGCGUUAAUCGGAUUUACUGGGCGUAAAGCGUGCGUAGGCGGCUUUUUAAGUCGGAUGUGAAAUCCCUGAGCUUAACUUAGGAAUUGCAUUCGAUACUGGGAAGCUAGAGUAUGGGAGAGGAUGGUAGAAUUCCAGGUGUAGCGGUGAAAUGCGUAGAGAUCUGGAGGAAUACCGAUGGCGAAGGCAGCCAUCUGGCCUAAUACUGACGCUAAGGUACGAAAGCAUGGGGAGCAAACAGGAUUAGAUACCCCAGUAGUCCCUGUCUCUUAUAC
RNAcentral lists this ribosomal RNA (301 nucleotides) under uncultured bacterium. RNAcentral's name for it is "partial 16S ribosomal RNA". It matches the Rfam family "Bacterial small subunit ribosomal RNA", at positions 509 to 807 of the family's 1533-position model. The record is from RNAcentral.